Molecule: ribosomal RNA, 540 nt
Filed under: uncultured bacterium
Lineage: Bacteria
Description: bacterial SSU rRNA
Rfam family: Bacterial small subunit ribosomal RNA
Source: RNAcentral
GAGGAAUAUUGGUCAAUGGACGUAAGUCUGAACCAGCCAAGUGGCGUGCAGGAUUGACGGCCCUAUGGGUUGUAAACUGCUUUUGUUGGGGAGUAAAGUGAGGCACGCGUGCCUUUUUGCAUUUACCCUUCGAAUAAGGACCGGCUAAUUCCGUGCCAGCAGCCGCGGUAAUACGGAAGGUCCAGGCGUUAUCCGGAUUUAUUGGGUUUAAAGGGAGUGUAGGCGGUCUGUUAAGCGUGUUGUGAAAUUUAGGUGCUCAACAUCUAACUUGCAGCGCGAACUGGCGGACUUGAGUGCACGCAACGUAUGCGGAAUUCAUGGUGUAGCGGUGAAAUGCUUAGAUAUCAUGACGAACUCCGAUUGCGAAGGCAGCGUACGGGAGUGUUACUGACGCUUAAGCUCGAAGGUGCGGGUAUCGAACAGGAUUAGAUACCCUGGUAGUCCGCACGGUAAACGAUGGAUGCCCGCUGUUAGCGCCUGGCGUUAGCGGCUAAGCGAAAGCAUUAAGCAUCCCACCUGGGGAGUACGCCGGCAACGGUG